UAAAUUGCAGCAGCCACAUUCCUAGUCCUUUUUGCCUGUUUAGGGCAGAGAGUAUAAUGUAAGACAAGCAUAAAAGAACCCAUUAGAUUCAACCGUGGGGGUAAUAAUUGAUCCUUCGCAGUUCCAGCAAACUCUGCUUGUGGGCGCGCGAAAGUUAAGGACAGGGGAUGAAACGGAAGAAGAAGCAGUAACAAGGCUAGUUGUUGAGACUUGAGAAUAGUUGUCCUGGCAAUAAUGAUGAACACACAGAACCUUUCUCGCCUAUCACUUCUAUAUUGGUCUUCAGCACCUCAGUUGCUGCUUGCGUAUCCAAUGUUUUCGGAAUUGCUUUCUAGCAAACUCUGCUUUUGGGCGCGCGAAAGUUAAGGACAGCGGAUGAAAUGGAAGAAGCAGUAACAAGGCUAGUUGUUGAGAAUAGUUGUCCUGGCAAUAAUGAUGAACACACAGAACCUUUCUCGCCCAUCACUUCUAUAUUGGUCUUCAGCACCUCAGCUGCUGCUUGCGGAUCCAAUGUUUUCGGAAUUGCUGUGGGUCAUUCAUCCCCUGCCGAGACUGGCAUUGUGGAUGAACUUGGCGUUACCACGUCUGAGGUGAGAACCAAGUUUUAAACAUUUUCCCUGCGUUCUGGCUUCUGGCUCGAGUCACCAAAUCAUCGAGCAAGAUAUUUUGUUUGUGCAUUAGAAGUGUGUUUGCUUAUCUAUUUGUAUUAUAUAAUUUUAUCUUGCUUACAUAAACAAAUACAGAAUUUAUAUAGUUCGGCUUCUUGUUUA
Molecule: long non-coding RNA, 770 nt
Organism: Hevea brasiliensis (rubber tree)
Lineage: Eukaryota; Viridiplantae; Streptophyta; Magnoliopsida; Malpighiales; Euphorbiaceae
Exons: 3
Source: RefSeq, a predicted model, not a curated record